This is an RNA transcript of Capra hircus (goat), 1295 nucleotides long. It is a transcript of the gene named UAP56-interacting factor pseudogene, with no coding region annotated. NCBI's taxonomy places the organism in Eukaryota, Metazoa, Chordata, Mammalia, Artiodactyla, Bovidae. The transcript has a single exon. The record is from RefSeq and is a predicted model, not a curated record.
UGCGUGAGUGGGAGGUGGCAGGCCUCAGCCUCUGGCCUUCUCGUCUGACUGUUCCAGCUCCACGUCUCCAGCCAUGAACCGGUUUAGUACCCGGUUAAUGGGAGCCACCGCAACCCCGCCGCCUGCGCUGCCGAAAGCCGCAGCAAUGAAAACCUGGACAAAAUUGAUAUGUCUUUGGAUGAUAUCAUCAAAUUGAAUCGAAAGGAAGGAAAGAAGCAGAAUUUCCCGAGAUUAAAUAGAAGACUUCAGCAAAGUGGUGCCAGGCAAUUCAGGAUGAGAGUAAGAUGGGGUAUUGAACAAAAUUCUGGUUUUGGUAAGAAUAGUCUGAGCCGUAGAGGAAGAGUGAUGCCUGGGAAGAGACGUCCUUAUGGAGUUAUCACUGGCCUUGCAGCUAGGAAAGCAACUGGAAUUCGAAAAGGAAUUAGUCCUAUGAAUCGACCGCCUCUAAGUGACAAGAAUAUAGAACGAUAUUUUCCAGCAUUAAAAAGGAAGGCAAACCUUCUGAGACAAAAUGAAGUGCAGAGAAAACCAGUUGCCGCUCUCAAGAGACCUAACCAGUUAAAUAGAAAAAAUAACAUUUCAAAUAAUUUUACCAGGAGUGGAAAUAAAUUAAGUCAUCAGAAAGACACUCAUCAGGCAACUUUUCUUUUCAGAAGAGGCCUGAAGGUUCAGGCCCAGUUGAACUCAGAACAACUGCUAGACGAUGUAGUAGCAAAGAGAACUCGUCAAUGGCGAACUUCCACCACAAAUGGAGGAAUUUUGACUGUAUCCAUUGAUAAUCCAGGAGCGGUGCAGUGCCCAGUAACUCAGAAACCACGAUUAAUUCGUACUGCUGUGCCCUCAUUCUUGACAAAACGGGAUCAAUCUGAUGUAAAGAAAGUUCCUAAAGGUGUCCCCCUACAAUUUAACAUAAACAGUGUUGGAAAACAGACUGGGAUGACUUUGAAUGAGCGAUUUGGGAUCCUGAAGGAACAAAGAGCCACUCUCACUUUCAACAAAGGAGGAAGCUGCUUUGUAACCGUGGGAUAGAUCCCAUGUCAAAGGAACUUUUCAGUGAUGACUCUUAAAAAUUUAAUUGCUUGAAGAGCUCAUCACAGAAAUUCAAGAAACUUUAUUUCAAAAUAUUCACAAGGCUAAAUAACUCAUUUUUAUUUUUGAAGUUUUUUUUUAAACAUGUAUAAAUACUGCCGUGAAAGAAUAACAGGGAAUAUACCUAUAUGUUCUUAAAGAUUUCAUGGUUGGCCCAGACAGAACAAUUCUCUAUUUGACUUUUUUGAUUCCUCAUGCAGCAGAAA